Esox lucius (northern pike) is the source of this 339-nucleotide long non-coding RNA. NCBI's taxonomy places the organism in Eukaryota, Metazoa, Chordata, Actinopteri, Esociformes, Esocidae. The record is from Ensembl.
GGAGUACAGAGAAACUGACUCUGAGGAUGGAGAGAACCAUCAAAACGUAAUUGAAAUUGAUGACGGUGAUGCAGACAGAAAUGACGAUAUCAUUGCGUCAGACUGCGUUGCAGCUCUUGAAUGUGCACCUGUCUCAAGCAAUGACAUAGAUUACAGUGACAUGGCAGAAGACAUGGACAGCAUGCCAUCUUCACCAUCUGUGACCACCCCUUUUGUGACUGUAACUCUUGCCCCAAAUGAAGCCUCAAACUCUAGUGAUGCCCAUGUAACUCCCCUUGAACAAUCAGACUCUGAACCACCAAGUCCCCAAGAAGACAGCGACGAUGAGUAUACUCCCCC